Molecule: ribosomal RNA, 497 nt
Filed under: uncultured bacterium
Lineage: Bacteria
Description: partial 16S ribosomal RNA
Rfam family: Bacterial small subunit ribosomal RNA
Source: RNAcentral
GAUGAACGCUGGCGGCGUGCCUAAUACAUGCAAGUCGAGCGAACAGAUGAGGAGCUUGCUCCUCUGACGUUAGCGGCGGACGGGUGAGUAACACGUGGAUAACCUACCUAUAAGACUGGGAUAACUUCGGGAAACCGGAGCUAAUACCGGAUAAUAUAUUGAACCGCAUGGUUCAACAGUGAAAGACGCUUUUGCUGUCACUUAUAGAUGGAUCCGCGUCGCAUUAGCUAGUUGGUAAGGUAACGGCUUACCAAGGCAACGAUGCGUAGCCGACCUGAGAGGCUGAUCCGCCACACUGGAACUGAGACACGGUCCAGACUCCUACGGGAGGCAGCAGUGGGGAAUCUUACGCAAGGGGCGAAAGCUUGACGGAGCAACACCGCGUGAGUGAUGAAGGUCUUCGGAUCGUAAAACUCUGUUGUUAGGGAAGAAAAAAUGUAUAAGUAACUAUGCACGUCUUGACGGUACCUAAUCAGAAAGCCACGGCUAACUACGUG